Molecule: small RNA, 6291 nt
Filed under: Pan troglodytes (chimpanzee)
Lineage: Eukaryota; Metazoa; Chordata; Mammalia; Primates; Hominidae
Description: retained intron
Source: RNAcentral
GGAAGUGGGAGAAGAGGCGACCCAAGGCGGGCUGGCGGGCUGGCGGCAGUCGCUACUUGCCUAGUAGCCUCAGCCGCUGUGGGCUCCUGGGGAGAUGGAGGGGCCGGGGCUGGGCUCGCAGAUACGGAAUUUUUGAACGAUGUAAAGAGUUGGUAGAAGCAGGAUAUGAUGUCAGGCAACCAGAUAAAGAAAAUGUGUCGCUUCUUCAUUGGGCUGCUAUUAACAACAGACUGGAUCUUGUAAAGUUUUAUAUUUCAAAAGGUGCUGUUGUAGAUCAGUUGGGUGGAGAUUUAAAUUCAACUCCUCUUCACUGGGCCAUCCGACAAGGACAUUUACCUAUGGUCAUAUUAUUACUCCAGCGUGGUGCAGACCCCACUCUUAUUGAUGGAGAGGGAUUCAGCAGCAUCCACCUGGCAGUAUUGUUUCAACACAUGCCUAUUAUAGCAUAUCUCAUCUCAAAGGGACAGAGUGUGAAUAUGACAGAUGUAAAUGGGCAGACACCUCUCAUGUUAUCAGCUCACAAAGUAAUUGGGCCAGAACCAACUGGAUUUCUUUUAAAGUUUAAUCCUUCUCUCAAUGUGGUUGAUAAAAUACACCAAAACACUCCACUUCACUGGGCAGUUGCAGCAGGAAAUGUUAAUGCAGUUGAUAAGCUUUUGGAAGCUGGUUCUAGCCUGGAUAUCCAGAAUGUUAAGGGAGAAACGCCUCUUGAUAUGGCUCUACAAAACAAAAAUCAGCUCAUUAUUCAUAUGCUAAAAACAGAAGCCAAAAUGAGAGCCAACCAAAAGUUCAGACUUUGGAGGUGGCUGCAGAAAUGCGAGCUCUUCCUGCUGCUGAUGCUUUCUGUGAUUACCAUGUGGGCUGUUGGAUACAUAUUGGACUUCAAUUCAGAUUCUUGGCUUUUAAAAGGAUGUCUUCUAGUAACACUGUUUUUUCUGACAUCUUUGUUUCCAAGGUUCUUGGUUGGGUAUAAGAACCUUGUAUACUUACCAACAGCCUUUCUGCUAAGUUCUGUUUUUUGGAUAUUUAUGACUUGGUUCAUCUUAUUUUUUCCUGAUUUAGCAGGAGCCCCUUUCUAUUUCAGUUUCAUUUUCAGCAUAGUAGCCUUUCUAUACUUUUUCUAUAAGACUUGGGCAACUGAUCCAGGCUUCACUAAGGCUUCUGAAGAAGAAAAGAAAGUGAAUAUCAUCACCCUUGCAGAAACUGGCUCUCUGGACUUCAGAACAUUUUGUACAUCAUGUCUUAUAAGGAAGCCAUUAAGGUCACUCCACUGCCAUGUAUGCAACUCCUGUGUGGCUCGAUAUGAUCAACACUGCCUGUGGACUGGACGGUGCAUAGGUUUUGGCAACCAUCACUAUUACAUAUUCUUCUUGUUUUUCCUUUCCAUGGUAUGUGGCUGGAUUAUAUAUGGAUCUUUCAUCUGUAAGUGUAAAUUUUUCUUACAACAAGCACAUACAUCUACACCCAUUUCUACUUUUCCUUGUAAACCCUUGUAUAUCACAUUCUGGCUGGGUGACUAUAAACCAUACUCCUAAUAAAAACAAAGCAAAUGCCUCUAAGACUCCCUCAGCAUUGGGAAGCUGCAAGAAAUACAAGAUGAGGUUAGUUCUCAGUACUUUAGGAAAAAAAUGUGAUAAAUUUGAAAAGUAGUCAAAAAUAGAAAUUCAUUUAAGGCAAGUGCAGAUUUGCUCCCCAGUGAAGAAGGAAAGUCAGCUGCUGAAGUACAAAGCUGGAGGUGAUAACUGAAUAAAACAGGAAAAAAAAAAAAAGGUCAGUGGUAGAGAGGUUGGGGGAUCGCUGUCCAGUCAUUAAGGAACAAACCUCUGAAAGCCCAUGCCAUUUGGUAAGUAUCAAGUUGAAACUGAGAACUGAUGGGAAUACUAACAGUUAAAAGGUUGGAAAUAGUAACUUGGAAGAAAACAUUAGAUCACUUAUUCUGUGGCCCUGAGGAAGGAAAAAAGCUUUCAGUAGCGGUUUAAAAGAGUAAAUAGGGGUCUCACAUAGGGAAUGACAGCCAGCUGUUCUGAGGUGGUUGACUAAGAAGGACAGGGUUUAAAUUGAAGCAAGAAAGAUUUUGGCUAUGUCUUAAGAACUGCAUGAUUAUGUUUUUCAGACCUUGGAAAUAGGUUACCUAACUGGAAAAACCUAUAGUGCUUGUAGUUUAUUUAUUUGGACUUUAGCUGUUUAUUAUUUAUUUAUUUUAAGGCUUUUGGAGAAUUGGGCUCUAAACACAGAGGCUUCACUUCCAUCCACCCUCCUGUUACAUUCUUGGUCAAAUCUUAGACUUUACCAGUAGGGUACUAGUUUGUUGCUUGAGCUGAAGUCUGGAGUAAUUCCGAAAGACAUUAAGAACGUUAUUUUCCCCUUAGCAUCCUAAGCCCAAUACACAUACACAUUUUUCCUCUCUUUCUCUCUUCUGUGUCUCUCUGUCUCUUUAGUUUAAAAUUUUUGUUAGUUUUCGAAAGGCAAUUCUUUGUACACUUGCCCCCCAGGCUCCCAGUUUCCCUCCCUAGAAAUAUCAAGUAUUACAAAUUUUGUUUUGUUUGGGGUUUCAUUUUUAGAGAUUAUUAACUAGUAUCUAUGUGUAAUGAGUUAUUUUUUGCCCUGCCAUAGGCAUGGAGGGCUUCAGUUACCUUGUCAGACCCUUUCCUACCUGACGCCUUGAGUGUCUUUGAUCACUAGGCAAUGCUUUUGUAGCUAAAUGUGACUGUCACCAUUUUAAAUAGGUCUAAUAGUCAGAAGGUUGUAAUCUCUGAGCUCAGUUCUUGUCAAAAAGGCCACCAGUAACCCUGAGCAUUCUAUUUUUAUUGUAAUUAAUUUUAAUUUUAUUUGUUUGUUUUUUGCUUAUUUAUUAAUGUAUUUUUUGAGACAGGGUCUCACUCUGUCGCCCAGACUGGAAUGCAGCGGCACCAUCAUGGCUCACUGCAGCCGUAGCUUUUUGUGCUCAAGUGAUCCUCCUGCCUUGGCCUCCCAAAUAGCUGAGACUACAGGUGCCUGUCACCAUGCCCAGUUAAUUUUUAAAUUUUUUGUAGAGAUGGCAUCUUCACCAUGUUGCCCAGGCUGGUUUCAAGCUCCAGGCCUCAAGUGAUUCUCCUGCCUCAGCUUCCCAAAGUGAAGUACUGCACCUGGCCAGCAUUCGAUUUUUAAAACUUCUUAGAUUAUGUCUUAUGGUGUAAAAAGUAAAAGAGUUUUUGACAGCGCUUGGUUCUAUUGAGAAAGCUGCCUUUCAAGGCCUGACAGUAAAGCAUAUUCCUGGAAAACCUUUGUAAGUUGGCACAUAGACCAACUUGUCUCUUGGACUGGAUCCUAUGGGAGAGGAGCCAGAGUUUACACCACUCCUGCCUCUCUUCUCUUCUCUCUCUUUACUAAAAAUAGUCACCUUUGUUUGGCAUCUAUGACCAGCAUAAGACUGUAUUGAUAAGGACAGAAGCGAUUUUCCAUCACAUUCAGUCUUUCCAAGUUAGUUUUUUUAUUACACAUUUUGAUUCUUCCCUUCUCUUUGUCUUUUUUCUCUGGCUCUGAACCAAUUUUCAUAUUACAUUUUGUUUCAUAAGAACAGUCCCACCUUAUAUUCACUUACAACUGUAUAAACUAGCUGAGUGUAUUUUGUUACCUUUAUUCCAUUUAUAUUCCAGCAAUAUUUCUUUACACUGAAUGAGGGCAUUGUGUCAUUUAUUAUUAUUUCACAGACAAAACAUGAACUUGUGCUCCAUUUCUCUAAUGAGUCCUCACUGUUAUCCCACCUCCCUUGUUUACCAUUAAUGCUGUAUUACUAGAGCCCUGCUCUAUACUCUCCUUCUCAUGUGAUCCAAUAGCUGCUACUUCUGUACAGCCUCCAUCCAUUUCAUCUUUUGUAAGGUCUGUUUACAAGGUGGACAGUAAGUGACUCCAAAAGUGUCAGCAUCCUACAAGUUACAGAAAGAAAGAUUGUAGAUUACCAUCAGGAAGAACUCUGUAACUGUCAGAGCCAUCUAAAGAUGAAAACGAUUGACCUGGAAUGAUGUGAGUUCCCUACCAUUAGCCACUGGCCAGCUGAUAAGAAUGUAUUAGCACAAAUUAAAGUGUUACAUUGCAUAAGAUAAUGUACGUGACAACUUGCUGUUGUAUCUUUGAUAUUAAAUCUGAAAACCAGUAUUCUGAAAACUUCAGUGUGAGAUCAUGCUGUAUUAUCAAAAGAAUUCCCAGAAGGGAGCAGUAGAAAUCCAUAAACUGAAAGAAAGUAGAUAUUCUUUCCCAAUCAACAGCUGUUUUCUCCACCUACUGUUGGAAAUUAUAUUCUUCUUUGUGACAUCAGGUGCAUGGGAUGCAUCUUUCUUUGCCAUCCUAAUGAGAUGCUCUAGAGAGAGUGUAAUUUGCCUUAACUUGUACCUUGAUUGCUACUCUGUGAUGAUUGCUCUUAGAAUGCUUCUGGCAUAUAUUCAUGAAAGAUGGUUGGGAAUCAGAGACUUAAAGAGAAAAGAAAAGUAGAUUUUUAGGAUUUAAAUGGACAGUUGACAGGAAAGUCAUAGACUCAUUUUCUUCCUGUCCCUGGAGUUCUUCAGAGCAGCAUUGGGAAAAUGUCCAAAACUGUUUAUCAAAUUGUCAGAGGCAUUUAUGAAACCUCAAGGUGCAAAUCAACAGAAUUAUCUUUUAAAAAUAAUUCACCCUUUAUGCAUGGGCAGGGUGCCUGUAAAAGUCAUUGGAUUUACAUAACCUUGAAGAUCCGUUCCCUUGUUUCUGCUGCUUCCUGUGUGUAUUUCUCCUUACUGCUGCUCCUAGCUACAUGGGUUAGGAGGUUGAUAUGAAAGGCCAUAGUAAAGUUCUUUAAUUGGCACAUCUGGGGAGAAACUGAGCUGUGACCAUCUGAAUCUUGCUCUAUAUUCUUUUCCCAGGUGUAUCUGUCUUGUGAGUCCCUUCAUCUGGCCUUUCUUCCUCUGCAGAUUUAGUUAUGGUGUCAGUGCAGAAGUAUACCCAUGCCCAGCUCCCUGCAUGCUAUUAGAUUGUAUUCUGAUGAUAUCUAGGUGCUUGUGGGAUAUCUUGUGCCCACAGCAAUGGCCUGUUCAUCUGAAUGCUUAAUAAGAGUUUAUAUUCAGUCCUGUAAUAGACCCAUAGUUGCUAUAAACAUGAAUAAGGUAGGGAAUGUUCUAAACAAAUAAUUAACUUCAGGCUAGUAUAUCUUAUGCUGAAUGCUGAUUUUAGUAAAGAUUUUAUGGACCCUUUUUGCUCUUUCUUCACUGUUAACUACUUAUACAGUGUUAUCAUAGCCUCAAUUAACAUUGAGCCACCAUUUUGUUAUCUUUAGUUUUUGAGCUGUCACGUGGAAAAUGAAAUCCUAAAAUUGAAUCAUGAUCUGUGCCAUACUUUCUCUUCUCCCUAUAUAGAACUGCAGUGAUUUUAUCUUCUUGGAGACUGAUAAGUAGUUUAUUGCCUUUUUUUUUUUUGGUGAAUUCACAGAUUGGUCCAGUCAUUGUGCCACAACAUUCAAAGAAGAUGGAUUAUGGACUUACCUCAAUCAGAUUGUGGCCUGUUCCCCUUGGGUUUUAUAUGUCUUGAUGCUAGCAACUUUCCAUUUCUCAUGGUCAACAUUUUUAUUAUUAAAUCAACUCUUUCAGAUUGCCUUUCUGGGCCUGACCUCCCAUGAGAGAAUCAGCCUGCAGAAGCAGAGCAAGCAUAUGAAACAGACGUUGUCCCUCAGGAAGACACCAUACAAUCUUGGAUUCAUGCAGAACCUGGCAGAUUUCUUUCAGUGUGGCUGCUUUGGCUUGGUGAAGCCCUGUGUGGUAGAUUGGACCUCACAGUACACCAUGGUCUUUCACCCAGCCAGGGAGAAGGUUCUUCGCUCAGUAUGAAGAAAAGCAACCCAAAACUCUCAAUCUGAUUUGUUUUUGUUUAUGCCGAUGCCCUGUAGUUUGAAAGUGAAGUAAAGAUUUAGAGUUCACCUAAGUCCAAAGGAAAACACGUGGCUUUUAAAACCAUUAGGUAAAAAAAGUUCUCAAUAAAGGCAUUACAAUUUUUUAGGUUUAGAAAGAUGGACUUUUCUGAUAAAUCUUGGCAGACAUCUAAAAAAAAAAAACCAUAUUUUUCACAAGAAAAUGCAAGUUACUUUUUUUGGAAAUAAUACUCACUGAUUAUGGAUAAAAUGGAAUAUUUUCAGAUACUAUAUUGGCUGUUUCAAAAUAGUACUAUUCUUUAAACUUGUAAUUUUUGCUAAGUUAUUUGUCUUUGUUGUAUCUAUAAAUAUGUAAAAAAUAUUUAAAUAGAUGUACCUGUUUUGCUUUCACACAUAAUAAAAAUUUUUUUUUGUAGUUGAGA